UACGUAGGGUGCGAGCGUUGUCCGGAAUUAUUGGGCGUAAAGAGCUCGUAGGCGGUUUGUUGCGUCGGCCGUGAAAACCUGCAGCUUAACUGUGGGCCUGCGGCCGAUACGGGCAGACUUGAGUUCGGUAGGGGAGACUGGAAUUCCUGGUGUAGCGGUGAAAUGCGCAGAUAUCAGGAGGAACACCGGUGGCGAAGGCGGGUCUCUGGGCCGAUACUGACACUGAGGAGCGAAAGCGUGGGGAGCGAACAGG
Molecule: ribosomal RNA, 253 nt
Filed under: uncultured bacterium
Lineage: Bacteria
Description: partial 16S ribosomal RNA
Rfam family: Bacterial small subunit ribosomal RNA
Source: RNAcentral